UACGUAGGUGGCAAGCGUUGUCCGGAAUUAUUGGGCGUAAAGCGCGCGCAGGCGGCCUCCUAAGUCCGAUGUGAAAGCCCACGGCUCAACCGUGGAGGGUCAUUGGAAACUGGGGGACUUGAGUGCAGGAGAGAAGAGUGGAAUUCCACGUGUAGCGGUGAAAUGCGUAGAGAUGUGGAGGAACACCAGUGGCGAAGGCGACUCUUUGGCCUGUAACUGACGCUGAGGAGCGAAAGCGUGGGGAGCGAACAGG
Molecule: ribosomal RNA, 253 nt
Filed under: uncultured bacterium
Lineage: Bacteria
Description: partial 16S ribosomal RNA
Rfam family: Bacterial small subunit ribosomal RNA
Source: RNAcentral